RNAcentral lists this ribosomal RNA (1126 nucleotides) under Klebsiella pneumoniae. Its description in RNAcentral is "bacterial SSU rRNA". It matches the Rfam family "Bacterial small subunit ribosomal RNA", at positions 8 to 1125 of the family's 1533-position model. Lineage: Bacteria; Pseudomonadati; Pseudomonadota; Gammaproteobacteria; Enterobacterales; Enterobacteriaceae. The record is from RNAcentral.
AGAGUUUGAUCAUGGCUCAGAUUGAACGCUGGCGGCAGGCCUAACACAUGCAAGUCGAGCGGUAGCACAGAGAGCUUGCUCUCGGGUGACGAGCGGCGGACGGGUGAGUAAUGUCUGGGAAACUGCCUGAUGGAGGGGGAUAACUACUGGAAACGGUAGCUAAUACCGCAUAACGUCGCAAGACCAAAGUGGGGGACCUUCGGGCCUCAUGCCAUCAGAUGUGCCCAGAUGGGAUUAGCUAGUAGGUGGGGUAACGGCUCACCUAGGCGACGAUCCCUAGCUGGUCUGAGAGGAUGACCAGCCACACUGGAACUGAGACACGGUCCAGACUCCUACGGGAGGCAGCAGUGGGGAAUAUUGCACAAUGGGCGCAAGCCUGAUGCAGCCAUGCCGCGUGUGUGAAGAAGGCCUUCGGGUUGUAAAGCACUUUCAGCGGGGAGGAAGGCGGUAAGGUUAAUAACCUUGUCGAUUGACGUUACCCGCAGAAGAAGCACCGGCUAACUCCGUGCCAGCAGCCGCGGUAAUACGGAGGGUGCAAGCGUUAAUCGGAAUUACUGGGCGUAAAGCGCACGCAGGCGGUCUGUCAAGUCGGAUGUGAAAUCCCCGGGCUCAACCUGGGAACUGCAUUCGAAACUGGCAGGCUAGAGUCUUGUAGAGGGGGGUAGAAUUCCAGGUGUAGCGGUGAAAUGCGUAGAGAUCUGGAGGAAUACCGGUGGCGAAGGCGGCCCCCUGGACAAAGACUGACGCUCAGGUGCGAAAGCGUGGGGAGCAAACAGGAUUAGAUACCCUGGUAGUCCACGCCGUAAACGAUGUCGAUUUGGAGGUUGUGCCCUUGAGGCGUGGCUUCCGGAGCUAACGCGUUAAAUCGACCGCCUGGGGAGUACGGCCGCAAGGUUAAAACUCAAAUGAAUUGACGGGGGCCCGCACAAGCGGUGGAGCAUGUGGUUUAAUUCGAUGCAACGCGAAGAACCUUACCUGGUCUUGACAUCCACAGAACUUUCCAGAGAUGGAUUGGUGCCUUCGGGAACUGUGAGACAGGUGCUGCAUGGCUGUCGUCAGCUCGUGUUGUGAAAUGUUGGGUUAAGUCCCGCAACGAGCGCAACCCUUAUCCUUUGUUGCCAGCGGU